GACGAACGCUGGCGGCGUGCUUGACACAUGCAAGUCGAACGGAAAGGCCUGCUUUCCCUUGUGGAUUGCGGGUACUCGAGUGGCGAACGGGUGAGUAACACGUGAGUGAUCUGCCCCCAACUUGGGUAUAAGCCUGGGAAACUGGGUCUAAUUCCCGAUAGGACUGCAGGGUGGUGCCUGUGGUUGAAAACGAUGUUAUAGUGGUUGGGGAUGAGCUCGCGGCCUAUUAGCUGGUUGGUGGGGUAAUGGCCUACCAAGGCGGCGACGGGUAGCCGGCCUGAGAGGGUGGACGGGCACAGUGGGACUGAGAUACGGCCCAGAAUCCGACGGGAGGCAGCAGUGGGGAAUAUGGGACGAUGGGGGGAAGCCUGAUGCAGGGACGCCGGGUGGGGGAUGACGGCCUUCGGGUUGUAAACUCCUUUCGAGCGCGAGGAAGCCAUCUGGUUGGAAGGGUGGUGACGGUAGUGGUAGAAGAAGCACCGGCUAACUACGUG
RNAcentral lists this ribosomal RNA (494 nucleotides) under uncultured bacterium. Its description in RNAcentral is "partial 16S ribosomal RNA". It matches the Rfam family "Bacterial small subunit ribosomal RNA", at positions 28 to 507 of the family's 1533-position model. The record is from RNAcentral.